This is a long non-coding RNA of Canis lupus familiaris (dog), 1475 nucleotides long. RefSeq lists it as uncharacterized. Lineage: Eukaryota; Metazoa; Chordata; Mammalia; Carnivora; Canidae. The record is from RefSeq and is a predicted model, not a curated record. The transcript has 4 exons.
UCUGUUGUCCUCUCUGGGAAGCUACCCUGUAUGGACCACAUGGCAUCUGAUGGCUAGAAUGCUGGGAACAUUGAGAGAUCUAGCAGGCAUGGAAAAGUGCUACCAUUUUCUCUCUGCCAUGUGGAACAGCAACAAGGACACAUAAACUUGAAGGAAGGUCAGCCAAACCGCUAUCCUGUUACCCAUGAAUAGAGGACAUACCAACUUGCUCUUAGGUAUUCACCCAAGACUAACUUUAAAGGAGAAUGUUGAACUUCAUUAACAUUAAAAUAUACCAUCAGAAGAAUGUAAAGGCAAGUCACAAUAAUGGAGGAGAUAUCUGCAAUACAGUUUUGCUUAAAAGCUAUAUAAGCUGCAGACACAGUCUAAGAAGAGAGAUGAUAUGUUUGACAGUCCAUAUAUGGAUAUCUAAUUUUUGGAUUAUGACAUCAUGAAAACAGGAGACCACCAAAGUAACUUCCAAAUGUGAAUGUGGCAAAGAGCUCCAAGGAAAAGUACAUUGCCUGCUACAGCCUAUGAAAUAUGUAUUAACAGAGAAGUCUUCUAUUGAAGAUGAAAUUUAUAAAGAGUCUUUCAUUCUCUGCCAUAAGAAAACCUCAUAUAUCACUCUUCAAAAAGAGGGAGGAAGAGUUCACUGGAAUCACAUAAUAAAAUGUCAGUACUGGGUGGGUGAUUAAAAACACCAUCUAAAUUCUAUUUGGGCAGGACACUUGAGAAUCCAGAUCAAAUAGGCCAUGUAUCAAGAGAGCCGACUAAAUGUCACAAUGUUCCAUAGUGACAGAUUAGAUAAGUGCCAGAGAAAUAUAUAGGCCUAAAACAAGAAUUACUAAGCAGACAUCUUCAAAUAUGCUUCUUAAGCAGGGACAUUUUAAAUGGUGGGAUUUAUCAUUAAUAUGUUUAUAGGAUCUUUUAAAUUUUAUUUAACUUUUGACAUAUCUCAAAGAAUGCAAUCUAUCAGAUAUCCCAGUAUUUAACAAUUUCUCUUGAAUAUGAUGCUAAAGAGGCCCAGCUUAGAUGAGAGAAUAUGGUGUUUCCACACAAAUUUGAUGCUUUCCGUCCUGAAAUGUUUUAUCAUUAUCCUAUUUUUUUCAUUUGUUGGCUUUCAUACUGUUCUCCAAAAGUCUAGUUUUACAAUGGAAUCCCAUUAAUAAAUAAUUUAGCAUAUAGUCAUAUAAGAACUUAGGAUUUUGAAGAUUUCAGGGGAUAACCAAACAAAGUGACAAGGGACAGCCAUUUCUGAAGAUGAAAUAGAGGAAACUUGUAAUAAGAGAAAUACAUUUGGGCACUAUUUUCCCACUGGUCUAUGCAAACUCAGAAUGACCUUAACUUCUUCACACCAUUCCACUCAGAAGUAAAACUAGUGAUUUAUUUUUGAUGCAUAUGUCUGAACUCAAGCAUGUCCUCCCCUUCUUUUCUUUUUUUUUUGUUUUUGUUUUUCUUCUAUGCUACUCUGUAUCUGCUGCAUUGCUGCCCAA